AUACCGGCAGCUCAAGUGGUAGCCGCUUUUAUUGGGCCUAAAGCGUCCGUAGCCGGUCUGAUAAGUCUCUGGUGAAAUCCCACAGCUUAACUGUGGGAAUUGCUGGAGAUACUAUCAUGACUCGAGGUCGGGAGAGGCUGGAGGUACUCCCAGGGUAGGGGUGAAAUCCUGUAAUCCUGGGAGGACCACCUGUGGCGAAGGCGUCCAGCUGGAACGAACCUGACGGUGAGGGACGAAAGCCAGGGGCGCGAACCGGAUUAGAUACCCGGGUAGUCCUGGCCGUAAACGAUGUGGACUUGGUGUUGGGAUGGCUUCGAGCUGCCCCAGUGCCGAAGGGAAGCUGUUAAGUCCACCGCCUGGGAAGUACGGCCGCAAGGCUGAAACUCAAAUGAAUUGACGGGG
This 402-nucleotide ribosomal RNA is filed under the name uncultured bacterium. RNAcentral's name for it is "partial 16S ribosomal RNA". It matches the Rfam family "Archaeal small subunit ribosomal RNA", at positions 473 to 873 of the family's 1478-position model. The record is from RNAcentral.